UGUUGUGGGGAAGCUGGAGGGGUUCUGUGGGUGGACGGUGACCGUGCGGCCCAGGGUGGGAGUUUGCUCAACGCCCCGUAACCGUGUGGAAAUGGUGACCCACUGCGCGUCACCACGACUGAGAAGAGGGGGCAGGAGCAAUGCCAACAGUCUCCAAGCCUCUCCCCGUCUCCUGCCCCACGGCAGGGUGCUUCCAGCAGGGCCAGGAGCCCGCGAUGCCCAUGGGCCUCCCCACUUGCCACUUUUGCCCAGCCUUCCCGGUUCCCAUCUCUAAUCUCUCCCCAGCUUGGCCUCCCGAUAAAGAUGGGCUUUAAAGGAUCUUCGCGUUGCUCUUGGUGGAUCCAGACUUACAAAGAUUCAAGGGAAUGACAAACCAACAUUAUCAUGCCGUUCCCCCCUCCCGGGGUUUCCUGGACGAUUACCUUCUGGUAGGUCAGCCUCAGAUGGAGUUUCACAGGAGCUGUGCCCGGCGACUCCACCUUCUUGUCAGUGGAGGGUCUCGUGAGUGCAUAUGCUGUUUUCAGAUAAACCCAGAGCUGUGUCAGCACCUCCAAGGUGAGGGCAAGGUGUGGGCAAGGUGGUGACGGUGAGGUGUGUGAAAACCUUCUCUGGGGGAAAGGCCUUGAUGUGCUUCAUCUUGGAAGUCCUUGGCAAGAUCUGACCACCCCAUAAAGGGCUUGGGAGGAUCUGACUGAGCCCAGGAUGGCGGUCGUAGGAGGAGGCUGAGACCUGAUGAGAAGGUGGACCAGUUGAGUCUUGCUGCAGCAGUCACCUGGGACUUGCUCAGACUCAAACCGAUUAGGAAAAUUCACAUUGAAAGCAUCGUUUAUAAUGGGUCCAAAUCCUGGGGAAGCCGGGCCUGGAGGGAGACAGAGAGGGCGUUUCUCCAUAAGCUGCAAUCUUUCAUGAUCUCCCCUCCCCCUGCGCAGAGUUUGACAACCCUGUCUCCUCCCCAAGACUGAUCAUUGGACUAAUUAGUGGCUAAUCAAUGUUUGAUUAAAACCUAGCCAUCUAUCAUAGGAAGUGCCAUGGUGACUCCAGAAGAAAGUUGCUUGCAGGAGGAUUUCCUCGGGUCUGGCUGGGGACCAAGCAGAAGGGGCCCUCCUCCGGCCAGUCUUCCCCUUGGCUCUUUGGCCUGGGGGCUCUGGAGGUCUGGGGAGGAGAGGACGGAGCAGGCUGGGUGGCUCCCUGUCACUGGGCCGUGCUCCCACCCGCUCCCUGGAAGCUGCCCCCCACGGGGUCUGCAGGUUCCGCCGUCACCCUCCUCCUGCCCUAAAUCUAACCUGCCUUUCUUCUGUAAAUCCUUGGUCGGAUUUCUACACACUUGAACCAGACUGUCCCUGUGAGCUCGAGCGGCCAGGUCAGGGGUGCUUGACCCUGGCUGCAGGUCAGAAACACCAGGAGAGGUUAAAAGGUUCUAACAGACGCAGGAUAGACACACAGACCCAUGAAGAGAGCAGAGAGCCCAGGAGUAGACCCAGCGCCUGUGGGAAUGGCGACAAGUCACUGGGCCGGCAUGGCCUGAGCAGGACCACGGAGGACCUUUGUGAGAUAUGUUGCUGGGCCAAUGGACAGCCACCGAGAGCCAAGGGAACCUUGACCCCUACCUCACACCAGACGCUUGCUCCCUACCUCACACCGUACUUCCAAACCAAUUCUACAUUUGGAAGGCAUCCCGGAGGAAUGUCUGGACUCUUUUCGAUUCAAAGAGCUCUCACCCUACAGGGUGAGUUGACCCGUUGAACAGUGUGGAGCAAGAGCCUCUGUUCAUCAAAGACGCCCCUGAGACAGACGGGCAAGCACAAGCAGAGGGUAUUUGCAGGGCCAGAAAGGGCUCUGAAACCAGUGGGAGAGACUCAAAUGAAUACCUCGCAGAGCAUUUCAGCAGUCGCCAGGGCAGGUCAACAAAGACUGCCCAGGCCACCAGAGUGGCUAAAUGAACGGUCGGCAGCCCCGAGGGCGGGAAGGACAGAACCCUGGAGCAUUCAGACACUGCUGAUGGGAGUGGAAACUGGAGCCAGCGCUUCCCCAAAUGAUCUAACGAAACUGAUCGCAGCCUGCCCAGGCCCAGCUGCUCCACCCUAGGUGUCCCCAGCAGGAGCACACCAGGUGCAGCCACGGGAAGCACAGGCAAUCACUCUGCCGCUCUCUAUAGCUCCAAACUGGAAGCCACCCAAACCGAGCAACCGGCACAGGAAGGUGGCCAAAUAAAUGGUGGUGCAUUCAUACCCUGGAUACCAAAUAGCACCUGUGCACUCAGCGCACCUCACAAAAGCAACGUGGAAAUAAAGACUGCAGGUGUUCCCUCCCUGUGAAGCCAAUCCUGGGGGAGUCCUUGUGGGGACGAGGAAG
This 2352-nucleotide long non-coding RNA is filed under the name Marmota monax (woodchuck). The record is from RNAcentral. Lineage: Eukaryota; Metazoa; Chordata; Mammalia; Rodentia; Sciuridae.